ACUUGUGGCCAUACCACCCUGAACACGCCUGAUCUCAUCUGAUCUCAAUAGCUAAACAGGGUCGGGCCUGGUUAGUACUUGGAUGGGAGACCUCCUGGGAAUACCAGGUGCUGUAAAUU
Coregonus clupeaformis (lake whitefish) is the source of this 119-nucleotide ribosomal RNA. Lineage: Eukaryota; Metazoa; Chordata; Actinopteri; Salmoniformes; Salmonidae. The record is from RefSeq and is a predicted model, not a curated record.